AUCCUCUUCCUCAUCACCAAAGAAGAAAGUCUCUUGGUCCAGGUUCUCAGACUCAUCGUAGGAGAAGCUGUCAUUGUCCAGCUCCUCAUCAAACUCAUCCUGCUGCCACUCGGGCACAUCAUCCUCAUCGUCUUCCUCCUCCUCUUCUGCCUCUGGCCCUGAGGAGGCCUGGGGCCUAGGGAGAGCCACCACACUCAGCCCAGAGGAGGCUGCCAUGUCCCACUGCCUCCUCCAUGGCUCUGCCCACCCCACUUACUGACUGCCAGGCAUGUUGGGUCCUUUUGCCUCCCAGGCCUCUACUGAUGGACUCUGAAGACCAACCCGGAAAUCCUGGUGAGCAGACAGAAGGAUUUGAGAAGGAGGUAGAGGGCAUGGGGCCUUUGGACCCAGCAUUCCUUCCACUGAUGCUCUGGGAGGGCCAAGCUCCUGCUAGGACUGCUCCCCUCCCAGCACAGCACUUCAUGAAACACUGCCUUUGUGAGUUCACCCACAGAUGGUCUCCAGGGAUACGGGGUACCAGGUGAGGCACACGACCCUGUGCUUAAAGAGCUUACAGAAUCUAUGUCUUUUCUGCCCAUGUGACUUACCAGUCAGUAAGCAACCUGAGGACAGGACUCACAGUUUAGACUCAGCAUCAGUGCAUUAGAGCUGGAGAGAGCCUGGGAGAGCCCUUGCUCCAGUGACCCCAAUCCCCUGAUGCCCACUCUUAGGAUUUCAAAUCCCUAUCUGGGAAGUACAGUCUGGAAAAGUUCCCCAAGUGAUUCUGAUAGGCACCUGACCAAAUACCCUUGAUGUGGGCUAGCCAACCCCUUUAUUUUGUAGGAAUCCCCAGGAGGUGAAGUGAUAGGGUCCAGCAGCAUCAGGCAGGUUGGCCCAAAAGCCGGGAUGUGCGCCCAGGUCUAACAUCCAUUCACCCGCUUUGCUGCCUUUCCUUCUGGACUCGCCCCAGGGCAGGGGCUGUGCUGGGACAGGAGGACCUCAACUCCCGCAGAAUGCAGGAGCAGAAGGGGUCUGGGCCGGGCAGUACCUGGGCAGAAUGCUGCAGGAUGGCAAGCAGCCUCUCCUGGAUCCGCCGGAGCAGCUCCAUGCCCGUGCUGAGGCAGUCGGCCCGCAGGAGGCGCAGGGAGGAGGCCAGGUCUCUGCACCGCAGCAGGGUUUCCUCUGCAGAGGGGGCAGGCACAGAGGCUCCCUCCCUUCUCAUUCUCAUCCAUUCCUUCCUCCAACAAACACCUAUGGAACGUCUACCAAGCACCAGGUGCAGCUCUAGACAUUCUCAUGAAGCUCCCUAGGGGAGCAGGGUAAAGACCAGAAACCAAGAAACAUCCACGAACAUCUGCGCCCUUGGGCACCUUACAAUGUAGGCUUUCGACCUGAGCUUUAACAGCCAGGCAGUGAGAAGGCCAUGAAGAAUGAAGAGGAAGAGGAGAGAGGGAAGGUAAGGGUGCCGCUUGACCUGUCUGGGAGGGGCCGGGCUGUGCAACAGAGGGGAGGAGGCAGGAGGAGGGCCUGGCUGGCAGGGGUGGCUCACCCAGGAGGAUCUGCAGGGCAUUGGUGUGCAGCUCCAGGUUCUCUGUCUGCUGCUCCACCACAUCCAUGUACUCUGCGUCCUGGCUGUAGAAGCUGUACACGCAGGCGUAGGCCAGCACCUGCAGGGGCUCCCAUCAGCUCUCCCGCCUGCCCUCUCCUCAUUCCCUUCACCCAGGCAAGUCCGAUGAAAGCAGCCAAGCCCCCCAGACCCAUUUGGCACACCCCUCCCCUGCUCUCUUCCCCCACCCGCUACCACCUUCCGAGCCUGCUCCAGUCCCUGGCAGGCAUCAUUGAGGAAGGUGAAGGAUCUGGGCGGGGGCACUUCAUGGAUGGCAGACACCCGGUUCCGCAAGUUCACAGCAAACUCCUGUGUGGAGGAAGGUGUAUCAGUACCAGCACAGGUGGCGCAGCACCACCUGCCCGGUCAGACCUUCAGCCCACCCCCCUCCACCCCACCACCCCAACCUGCUUCUGCAGGCAUCUACCCGCUGUUUCCUCCCGACUCACCCGCGCCUGGUGAUGGAAAGUGCACCUCUCAUUAUAGUCCUGAAACCGCUUCUCCUGGCGAGCUGCCUU
This 2103-nucleotide long non-coding RNA is filed under the name Homo sapiens (human). RNAcentral's name for it is "non-protein coding lnc-DNPH1-1:2". Lineage: Eukaryota; Metazoa; Chordata; Mammalia; Primates; Hominidae. The record is from RNAcentral.